RNAcentral lists this microRNA precursor (98 nucleotides) under Marmota monax (woodchuck). The record is from RNAcentral. Lineage: Eukaryota; Metazoa; Chordata; Mammalia; Rodentia; Sciuridae.
UCAGACAUCACUUAGAGAUCUUAUUCAAAUGCAUAUUCUGGCUAUGUGGGUCCAGGGUGAGAUUCUGCAUUUCUAAUAUGCUCCCAGGUGAUGCCUAU